This 497-nucleotide ribosomal RNA is filed under the name uncultured bacterium. Its description in RNAcentral is "partial 16S ribosomal RNA". It matches the Rfam family "Bacterial small subunit ribosomal RNA", at positions 28 to 507 of the family's 1533-position model. The record is from RNAcentral.
GAUGAACGCUGGCGGCGUGCCUAAUACAUGCAAGUCGAGCGAACAGACGAGGAGCUUGCUCCUCUGACGUUAGCGGCGGACGGGUGAGUAACACGUGGAUAACCUACCUAUAAGACUGGGAUAACUUCGGGAAACCGGAGCUAAUACCGGAUAAUAUAUUGAACCGCAUGGUUCAAUAGUGAAAGACGGUUUUGCUGUCACUUAUAGAUGGAUCCGCGCCGCAUUAGCUAGUUGGUAAGGUAACGGCUUACCAAGGCAACGAUGCGUAGCCGACCUGAGAGGCUGAUCGGCCACACUGGAACUGAGACACGGUCCAGACUCCUACGGGAGGCAGCAGUAGGGAAUCUUCCGCAAUGGGCGAAAGCCUGACGGAGCAACGCCGCGUGAGUGAUGAAGGUCUUCGGAUCGUAAAACUCUGUUAUUAGGGAAGAACAAAUGUGAAAGUAACUAUGCACGUCUUGACGGUACCUAAUCAGAAAGCCACGGCUAACUACGUG